CUGUCCACCCGUAGGCUGGAUGUCUCCACAGGUAAAAGGCCACAUCCUCGUGCCUCCAAACGCACGGCUUUCUAAUACGAAAAUCUGAAGACUGAAGAAUGUGAAGUAAAUCACCCUGGUAUGAACACACAACCGACUACACCUCUGGCCAAGGAAUGCUUCCUUCCCGGAUCCUUUCCUGGCUCAAGCAAUUUCCCCGAGACAACAAACUCCCCCAAGGGAAGGCAGAGGGGACACGGCAGGGAGUGCAUGGACUCCUCCCGCUACGGCCUGCCAAGCAGCCAGGAUCACAGUCAUGCGACACCAUGCCAGGAUCAGAGAUAAUUUUAAAUAGGCUGGCAAGUUAAAGACACCUCUUCCUGGGGCAAUGAACAAUGAAGUGAAUCAAGGCUGCUGAUGGGGACACCCCGGCCAGACCGCCAAGGCUCCUGUGCAGAGCCCCCAGGACACCACAUCGCUGAGCCCCACCACAGGCAGGGCACAGAUGCAGAAAUCUACAUCACAUGUCAGACUGGGGACAUCCUGGAGAGACAUUCUCAAGCCUACAGGAAAGGAAGACACAGUACACAUGGUGAACCCACUCUCCAUCCUGGCAUACCGCUCCUAUGAACCCAGUGUUGGGGCUCAGAAAACAAGACCCCAAAAUGAGGGCUUCCCAAGCAGCCUCAGAAGCAAAAUUUUAUCUCUGACCUUCUCCUCCCCUCCUGUCUCUAGCCCCUCAUUCUCCUCCCAGGCUGACAUAGAAACAGAAUCCCUCUUCCCCAAGGUGGGUCAUAGAAACCAGGACACCUUUUUCUCUAAAGCCAGCCAGAAAGCCUAAAAAUAGGACUCCAAUUUUCUCUCCAUCGUUCUGUGUAAAACCUGGCCAUGAAGAAAUGAUCUGACCUACUUUGUUUGGCUGUGGAUCCAAGACCCCCAUUCCAGCAAGGGUCCUGCUUCUCACCCAGAAGAAAAGGGCACUGCUCAGAAGGCCAAGAAGAAUCCAGACAGACAGGCCUAGCGGGGUGUCCCCACUCAGUCUGUUCUCACUAGAUCCAACCCUAUUUGCCCAAUCCUAUUUCCACACAGUUGUCCAUACUUUAUGGAACCUAAGCAUUAAAAUGGACAGCUUCUU
Molecule: long non-coding RNA, 1114 nt
Filed under: Homo sapiens (human)
Lineage: Eukaryota; Metazoa; Chordata; Mammalia; Primates; Hominidae
Description: HSALNT0023340
Source: RNAcentral